This 1372-nucleotide ribosomal RNA is filed under the name uncultured bacterium. RNAcentral's name for it is "bacterial SSU rRNA". It matches the Rfam family "Bacterial small subunit ribosomal RNA", at positions 28 to 1381 of the family's 1533-position model. The record is from RNAcentral.
GAUGAACGCUGGCGGCGUGCCUAAUACAUGCAAGUCGAGCGAACGGACGAGAAGCUUGCUUCUCUGAUGUUAGCGGCGGACGGGUGAGUAACACGUGGAUAACCUACCUAUAAGACUGGGAUAACUUCGGGAAACCGGAGCUAAUACCGGAUAAUAUUUUGAACCGCAUGGUUCAAAAGUGAAAGACGGUCUUGCUGUCACUUAUAGAUGGAUCCGCGCUGCAUUAGCUAGUUGGUAAGGUAACGGCUUACCAAGGCAACGAUGCAUAGCCGACCUGAGAGGGUGAUCGGCCACACUGGAACUGAGACACGGUCCAGACUCCUACGGGAGGCAGCAGUAGGGAAUCUUCCGCAAUGGGCGAAAGCCUGACGGAGCAACGCCGCGUGAGUGAUGAAGGUCUUCGGAUCGUAAAACUCUGUUAUUAGGGAAGAACAUAUGUGUAAGUAACUGUGCACAUCUUGACGGUACCUAAUCAGAAAGCCACGGCUAACUACGUGCCAGCAGCCGCGGUAAUACGUAGGUGGCAAGCGUUAUCCGGAAUUAUUGGGCGUAAAGCGCGCGUAGGCGGUUUUUUAAGUCUGAUGUGAAAGCCCACGGCUCAACCGUGGAGGGUCAUUGGAAACUGGAAAACUUGAGUGCAGAAGAGGAAAGUGGAAUUCCAUGUGUAGUGGUGAAAUGCGCAGAGAUAUGGAGGAACACCAGUGGCGAAGGCGACUUUCUGGUCUGUAACUGACGCUGAUGUGCGAAAGCGUGGGGAUCAAACAGGAUUAGAUACCCUGGUAGUCCACGCCGUAAACGAUGAGUGCUAAGUGUUAGGGGGUUUCCGCCCCUUAGUGCUGCAGCUAACGCAUUAAGCACUCCGCCUGGGGAGUACGACCGCAAGGUUGAAACUCAAAGGAAUUGACGGGGACCCGCACAAGCGGUGGAGCAUGUGGUUUAAUUCGAAGCAACGCGAAGAACCUUACCAAAUCUUGACAUCCUUUGACAACUCUAGAGAUAGAGCUUUCCCCUUCGGGGGACAAAGUGACAGGUGGUGCAUGGUUGUCGUCAGCUCGUGUCGUGAGAUGUUGGGUUAAGUCCCGCAACGAGCGCAACCCUUAAGCUUAGUUGCCAUCAUUAAGUUGGGCACUCUAAGUUGACUGCCGGUGACAAACCGGAGGAAGGUGGGGAUGACGUCAAAUCAUCAUGCCCCUUAUGAUUUGGGCUACACACGUGCUACAAUGGACAAUACAAAGGGCAGCGAAACCGCGAGGUCAAGCAAAUCCCAUAAAGUUGUUCUCAGUUCGGAUUGUAGUCUGCAACUCGACUACAUGAAGCUGGAAUCGCUAGUAAUCGUAGAUCAGCAUGCUACGGUGAAUACGUUCCCGGGUCU